This 484-nucleotide ribosomal RNA is filed under the name uncultured bacterium. Its description in RNAcentral is "partial 16S ribosomal RNA". It matches the Rfam family "Bacterial small subunit ribosomal RNA", at positions 30 to 507 of the family's 1533-position model. The record is from RNAcentral.
AUUGAACGCUGGCGGCAGGCCUAACACAUGCAAGUCGAGCGGAUGAAGGGAGCUUUCUCCUGGAUUCAGCGGCGGACGGGUGAGUAAGUCCUAGGAAUCUGCCUGGCAGUUGGGGCUAACGUCCGGAAACGGGCGCGAAUACCGCAUACGUUCUGAGGUAGAAAGUGGGGGAUCUUUGGAGCUCACGCUAUUUGAUGACCCUAGGACGGAUUAGCUAGUUGGUGAGGUAAAGGCCUACCAAGGCGACGAUCCGUAACUGGUCUGAGAGGAUGAUCAGUCACACUGGAACUGAGACACGGUCCAGACUCCUACGGGAGGCAGCAGUGGGGAAUAUUGGACAAUGGGCGAAAGCCUGAUCCAGCCAUGCCGCGUGUGUGAAGAAGGUCUUCGGAUUGUAAAGCACUUUAAGUUGGGAGGAAGGGAAGUAAGUUAAUACCUUGCUGUCUUGACGUUACCAACAGAAUAAGCACCGGCUAACUUCGUG